AGUUUCUUUUGUAAAUACACUUCAAAUGGGGCCCUUGCAACCUGCUAAAUUUUUUUUCUUCUUUCCUCACCACUCCAAACCUGCUUCCAAUUAGCCCAUAUAUGUCUAGCACACCAUUUAUGCUCAACUUUUGGCAGUAAAUUAGUAAGUGCCAAAUGAAGACCCUAUCAAAAUAUGUAAAACAGUAGUUAAACAUUAAUGACAUCACUGCAAUAAACUUAAAAAUAAAUAACUGAAAAAUAUGAACAUAUAAAUAGUCAUACCUUCUGC
RNAcentral lists this long non-coding RNA (270 nucleotides) under Capsicum annuum. RNAcentral's name for it is "long non-coding RNA (CANN_LNC009485)". The record is from RNAcentral. Lineage: Eukaryota; Viridiplantae; Streptophyta; Magnoliopsida; Solanales; Solanaceae.